CCUACGGGUGGCUGCAGUGGGGAAUAUUGCGCAAUGGGCGAAAGCCUGACGCAGCGACGCCGCGUGGGUGAUGAAGGCCUUCGGGUUGUAAAGCCCUGUCGGGUGGAACGAACGAUCUGGCGGCGAAUAACCGCCGGGUGUGACGGUACCACCGAAGGAAGCCCCGGCUAACUACGUGCCAGCAGCCGCGGUAAACCGUCGGGGGCGAGCGUUGUUCGGAUUUCGUGGGCGUAAAGCUAGCGCAGGCGGCAAAUCCCUCGGCUUAACCGAGGUCCCGCAUCCGAUACUGUCUGGCUCGAGUCUAGGAGAGGAAAGCGGAAUUCCCAGUGUAGCGGUGAAAUGCGUAGAUAUUGGGAGGAACACCGGUGGCGAAGGCGGCUUUCCGGACUAGUACUGACGCUGAGGCGCGAAAGCUAGGGGAGCGAACGGGAUUAGAUACCCCUGUAGUC
Molecule: ribosomal RNA, 449 nt
Filed under: uncultured bacterium
Lineage: Bacteria
Description: partial 16S ribosomal RNA
Rfam family: Bacterial small subunit ribosomal RNA
Source: RNAcentral